This 627-nucleotide ribosomal RNA is filed under the name uncultured bacterium. Its description in RNAcentral is "bacterial SSU rRNA". It matches the Rfam family "Bacterial small subunit ribosomal RNA", at positions 35 to 670 of the family's 1533-position model. The record is from RNAcentral.
GCUGGCGGUGCGCCUUAUGCAUGCAAGUCGAGCGAAGCUUUUCAGUAGUUUACUACAGAAAAUGACUGAGCGGCGAACGGGUGAGUAACGCGUGAGCAAUCUACCAUAGUUACAGGGAUAGCCCGAGGAAACUCGGAUUAAUACCUGAUAUUCUUUAUUUCUCGCAUGAGAAUAAAAGGAAAGGUCAGCCGAACUAAGAUGAGCUCGCGUUCUAUCAGCUAGUUGGUGAGGUAAAAGCUUACCAAGGCCACGACGGAUAGCUGGUCUGAGAGGACGAUCAGCCACACUGGGACUGAGACACGGCCCAGACUCCUACGGGAGGCUGCAGCAGGGAAUAUUGUGCAAUGAACGAAAGUUUGACACAGCGACACCGCGUGUGGGAUGACGGAUCUAGGUUUGUAAACCACUUUCAGGAGGGAAGAAAAUGACGGUACCUCCACAAGAAGCCCCGGCCAACUACGUGCCAGCAGCCGCGGUAAUACGUAGGGGGCGAGCGUUGUCCGGAUUUAUUGGGCGUAAAGAGCUCGUAGGCGGUUCAACAAGUCGGUCGUGAAAGUUCAGGGCUCAACCCUGAAAUGUCGAUCGAUACUGUUGUGACUAGGAUACGGUAGAGGUGAGUGGAAUUCC